This is a long non-coding RNA of Phascolarctos cinereus (koala), 1669 nucleotides long. NCBI's taxonomy places the organism in Eukaryota, Metazoa, Chordata, Mammalia, Diprotodontia, Phascolarctidae. The record is from Ensembl.
AUGUCUUUCCAUCUGGCAGCCCAAAAGAUUCACAUCAGCUCCGCCACCUACCAGACCCUCCUGACGGAUGACGCGUAUGAAAUUGAGCUUCGAGGAGAGAUUGACGUCAAGGGCAAAGGAAAAAUGAAAACCUACUGGCUCCUGGGGAACAAGAAGUACGGUGUUCAGAACGACAGCCUGGUGUGCCACUGGUGGCCUUCCCAUAAUGCCUCUGGAAACAAGAUGGCAGAGAGCAGCCCAUGCUUGGGCCUGGCUUCCAGUGCAAUGGGAGCUGCCCUGGGUGAAGCCCCUGAAACAGCCUCCUCAACAGAAAAGGUCUCAUCUAGCAAUACCACAAACCCCUCUGAGCUGAUGGGGCAGCCUGGGGGUGAGAUGCCCCAUAGACCCAUACUAGGUGAUGGAGCCUCCCUCCUGGCAUCCCCUUCUCCUGGCCAAAGCACCCCUGUAUGCCCGAGGAACAGCAGCCAGGGGCACCUAGGGAAGGACAAAUUCCUGCCCGGUUUCGUGGAGGAGAUGGAAUAAACCCAAUGGAUUGGCCUUCCCAGGAGCUGGACUUCAGGGCUAUCUCUUCAGGUCUGUGGAUGGGCCACUGACCCAAGGGCCAAAGCCUGGACUCAACACAAGGAGAAGGAUCUGAGGACUAAACUCUGGAAGCUAAAAGCAGCCUUUGGUGCCAACUGAGACCCCUUGUCUGUAACCUCAAACUCUAUGAGCUCCUUUGGGAGUGAAGGGUAAAAAGGGGCAGUGAGCAGGACUUGGUCUGGAGAGCUACACCUGGGAAUAAUGGGCUUAUGGAGUCUGACCUGUAAGGGAGCUUAGAGACCAUUUAGUCCAGGAGUCCUUACCCUGGGAUGGACUCUAGGAGUCUCUAAAUUUGGAUGGGAAAAAUUACAUCUCUAUUUUUACUAACUUCUAACUACAAUUUAGCAUUUCCAUCAAUUAUGAAUUUUAAAAAAAACCCAUUAUUCUAGCAACAGGUUGGUGGAUUUUAGCUGCUAAAGACAUACACAAAGGGUAAGAACCCCAGAUCCAGUCCAUGAUGCUAUUUUACAAAAAAAGAAACUGAGGCUCAGAGGAGUGAACUGAUUUCCCAAGGUGACUUUGGUACAAUCCUCUGGGUCUCAGAUUCCUCAGCAGCGCCCUUCUGAGAUCUUUUCUUCCACUCUAAAAUGGGGAUAAUAAUAGCACCAACUUCACAGGGCUGUUAUGAGUAUGAAGGGAGAUAACCUAUGUUAAAUGCUUCACAAACCUUAAAGUAAUAUGGAAAUGUGUUAAAAUAGUAAUAAUAAUUAUUAGUAGCAGUUGUGUUAGUAUUACUAGUAUUUAUUAUUAUUAGUUAUUGUUGUAGUAGUAGGUAGUAGUAGUAGUAACAGUAGUAAUAAGAGGAGGAAAAGGAGUGGUAGUAGUAGUAGCAGCAGCAGCAGCAGUAAUAGUUACAGUAGUAGUGGUAGUAGUAGUAGUAGUAGUAGUAAUAGUAGUAAUAGGAGGGAAAGGUGGAGUAGUAGUAAGAGGAGGAGUAACAAUAAUAGUAGUGGUAGUAGUAGUGGUGGUGGUAGUAGUAGCAAUAGUAGCUCUAGAUGGCCUCUAAGGUUCUUUCCAAAUCUAAAUGGAUGAUCCCAUGAUCUUUGAAUGGGAACAGACUGAAUAAAAAUGGCUAACAUGGAGUUCA